UGGUACAGGAGCCUAGGGACAAGCUGAA
Molecule: non-coding RNA, 28 nt
Filed under: Mus musculus (house mouse)
Lineage: Eukaryota; Metazoa; Chordata; Mammalia; Rodentia; Muridae
Source: RNAcentral